Molecule: non-coding RNA, 251 nt
Organism: Anas platyrhynchos (mallard)
Lineage: Eukaryota; Metazoa; Chordata; Aves; Anseriformes; Anatidae
Source: RefSeq, a predicted model, not a curated record
CAUUUAACCUGGAAAUGAAUAGGAAGCUUCUAAUCAUCGCAGCCGUAAUGUUCCCACAACAUUCCCGCAGGACCAGUGCCAAAUACAUUUGAGGAGCAAAGGAACAGCUCUUUUUUCCUGAGGGUCCAGAAGUCAGAGAACACCCUGAAUUUGGAGCGACUGUGCCAGUCCCAAAGAUGGUCCCAAGGUCCAUCGAUGAGCAGAGGAGCAUGAAUUCUUUCAAUGCCCUGCACUUAGUACCCACAGCAAAG